GCCUAUGGCCACGCCACCCUGAACACGCCCGAUCCCGUCCGAGCUCGCAAGCUAAGCAGGGUCGGGCCUGGUUAGUACUUGGAUGGGAGACCGCCUAGAAAGACCAAGUGCUGUAGGUA
Molecule: ribosomal RNA, 119 nt
Filed under: Pteropus alecto (black flying fox)
Lineage: Eukaryota; Metazoa; Chordata; Mammalia; Chiroptera; Pteropodidae
Source: RNAcentral